RNAcentral lists this ribosomal RNA (1501 nucleotides) under metagenome. Its description in RNAcentral is "bacterial LSU rRNA". It matches the Rfam family "Bacterial large subunit ribosomal RNA", at positions 1396 to 2925 of the family's 2925-position model. The record is from RNAcentral.
UACAGGUCGCAAGACGUAAGCGAUGGAUAACAGGUUUAGAUUCCUGUACCAUGCAUUAUCAGAACUGUAGGGACGCAUGUGGAAAGCACGAGCCGGGAAUGGAAAGACCGGUACAAGCGGGGUAGGUGUACAAUAGGCAAAUCCGUUGUAUGAUCCGAAGACGUGAUGUGGAGCGAAAUAAAGUAGUGAAGCGUGUGAGCCAUGUGCCGAGAAAAGCUGCUAUUGUGUAAUGCGUGCCCGUACCGUAAACCGACACAGGUGGAUGAGGAGAGAAUCCUAAGGCCGACGGAAGAAGCAUUGUUAAGGAAUUCGGCAAAAUGACCCCGUAACUUCGGGAGAAGGGGUGCCUGCGAGAGCAGGCCGCAGAGAAUAGGCUCAAGCAACUGUUUAGCAAAAACACAGGUCUAUGCGAAACCGAAAGGUGAAGUAUAUGGGCUGACGCCUGCCCGGUGCUGGAAGGUUAAGAGGAGAGGUUAGCGUAAGCGAAGCUUUGAAUUUAAGCCCCAGUAAACGGCGGCCGUAACGAUAACGGUCCUAAGGUAGCGAAAUUCCUUGUCGGGUAAGUUCCGACCCGCACGAAAGGCGUAAUGAUUUGAGCACUGUCUCGACAAUGCAUCCGGUGAAAUUGAAGUACCAGUGAAGAUGCUGGUUACCCGCGCCAGGACGGAAGGACCCCAUGGAGCUUUACUCCAGUUUGAUACUGGGAUUCGGUACUGCAUGUACAGGAUAGGUGGGAGACGAAGAAGGAUGGACGCCAGUCUGUCCGGAGUCGCUGUUGGGAUACCACCCCUGUAGUACUGGGUUUCUAACCAGUUGCCAUGAACUGGCAAUGGGACAAUGUCAGGCGGGGAGUUUGACUGGGGCGGUCGCCUCCGAAAGGGUAUCGGAGGCGCUCAAAGGUUCCCUCAGAAUGGUUGGAAACCAUUUGAAGAGUGCAAAGGCAGAAGGGAGCUUGACUGCGACACCGACGGGUGGAGCAGGUACGAAAGUAGGACUUAGUGAUCCGGUGGUAUAAAGUGGGAUUGCCAUCGCUCAACGGAUAAAAGCUACCCUGGGAUAACAGGCUUAUCACUCCCAAGAGUUCACAUCGACGGAGUGGUUUGGCACCUCGAUGUCGGCUCAUCGCAUCCUGGGGCUGUAGCAGGUCCCAAGGGUUGGGCUGUUCGCCCAUUAAAGCGGUACGCGAGCUGGGUUCAGAACGUCGUGAGACAGUUCGGUCCCUAUCCGGCGCGGGCGGAGGAUAUUUGAGAGGAGCUGUCCUUAGUACGAGAGGACCGGGAUGGACGGACCACUGGUGUAUCUGUUGUCGACCAACGGCAUGGCAGAGUAGCCAAGUCUGGAAGGGAUAAACGCUGAAGGCAUCUAAGCGUGAAGCCCCCCUCAAGAUGAGAUAUCCCUCCUUCGGGAGUAAGACCCCUUGAAGACUACAAGGUAGAUAGGGCAGAGGUGGAAGCAUGGCAACAUGUGGAGCUGACUGUUACUAAUAGGUCGAGGGCUUAAU